RNAcentral lists this ribosomal RNA (274 nucleotides) under uncultured bacterium. RNAcentral describes it as "partial 16S ribosomal RNA". It matches the Rfam family "Bacterial small subunit ribosomal RNA", at positions 523 to 796 of the family's 1533-position model. The record is from RNAcentral.
AUACGGAGGAUCCAAGCGUUAUCCGGAUUUAUUGGGUUUAAAGGGUGCGCAGGCGGCCUUAUAAGUCAGUGGUGAAAUCUCCCGGCUCAACCGGGAAACUGCCAUUGAUACUGUAGGGCUAGAAUACAGACGAGGUAGGCGGAAUGUAGCAUGUAGCGGUGAAAUGCUUAGAUAUGCUACAGAACACCGAUCGCGAAGGCAGCUUACCAGACUGUAAUUGACGCUAAGGCACGAAAGCGUGGGGAGCGAACAGGAUUAGAAACCCCAGUAGUCC